ACUACGGGUGGCAGCAGUCGAGAAUCAUUCACAAUGGGGGAAACCCUGAUGGUGCGACGCCGCGUGGGGGAAUGAAGGUCUUCGGAUUGUAAACCCCUGUCAUGUGGGAGCAAAUUAAAAAGAUAGUACCACAAGAGGAAGAGACGGCUAACACUGUGACAGCAGCCGCGGUAAUACAGGGGUCUCAAGCGUUGUUCGUAAUCACUUGGCUUAAAGCGUGCGUAGGCUGUUUCGUAAGUCGUGUGUGAAAGGCGCGGGCUCAACCCGCGGACGGCACAUGAUACUGCGAGACUAGAGUAAUGGAGGGGGAACCGGAAGUCUCGGUGUAGCAGUGAAAUGCGUAGAUAUCGAGAGGAACACUCGUGGCGAAGGCGGGUUCCUGGACAUUAACUGACGCUGAGGCACGAAGGCCAGGGGAGCGAAAGGGAUUAGAUACCCUGGUAGUC
RNAcentral lists this ribosomal RNA (446 nucleotides) under uncultured bacterium. RNAcentral describes it as "partial 16S ribosomal RNA". It matches the Rfam family "Bacterial small subunit ribosomal RNA", at positions 338 to 795 of the family's 1533-position model. The record is from RNAcentral.